Long non-coding RNA from Paramisgurnus dabryanus, 705 nucleotides. RefSeq lists it as uncharacterized. The record is from RefSeq and is a predicted model, not a curated record. Lineage: Eukaryota; Metazoa; Chordata; Actinopteri; Cypriniformes; Cobitidae.
AAUUCGUAAUAAUUCAAACGAUUUAACCAAGUGGCUAAAUCGUAUGAAAUCAUACGAGCUGGCUCGUACGAAAUCGUACGAUUAGUUCAUCGCAUUUAACACAGCCCUGUGUUGCAGGGAUUUCGUGCUAAUUAAUACGAAUAGAUUAAAUCGUACUAUACCAUACGAUUUUGUUCAUCGCAUUCAAGAAGCGUGACCCGUAGCCAGAAAAAAACUCUGGGUGUGCAUCUGAAAAUCUGCGUGUGUCACAGGCAAGAUAAGCAGAAACGCUGGGGAAUUCAGGUGCUGUAAAUCCGGUGGACAGGACUCAUCUCGUUAUAGAUCAAGAUAAUUUAUAAAGAUCUUUAAACGAAGGAUUGGAGUAUCAGAUAGUUGACAUGGUGUGCUACUGUGGUUGGCUCCGGCACACCCGUGGCUACGCCCCUGCCGUGACCCAAAUCUCGUUCGCACAUCAUCGCGAUAUGUAUCAUCUGUUUACAAACGUCGCCACUCGUUUCUUCACAUACAUCUCAUGCUCCUCCAUCUACACGCUCCACAACAUUUAAACCAACGGCUCUUUUAAGAGCCAUCACUUGCAAAAGCUCUCGUACUCGCUCUCCUACUCACUCACUCACUCUCCAACUCACUCUCCUACUAACUCACUCACUCUCCAACUCACUCACUCUUCUAUAGGGCUGUGCAAAAUAAUCGUCUGCGAUUCUCAUG